Molecule: non-coding RNA, 18 nt
Filed under: Xenopus tropicalis (tropical clawed frog)
Lineage: Eukaryota; Metazoa; Chordata; Amphibia; Anura; Pipidae
Also listed under: 2 other names
Source: RNAcentral
CGACUCUUAGCGGUGGAU